Molecule: ribosomal RNA, 402 nt
Rfam family: Bacterial small subunit ribosomal RNA
UGGGGAAUAUUGCACAAUGGGCGCAAGCCUGAUGCAGCGACGCCGCGUGAGGGAAGAAGGUUUUCGGAUUGUAAACCUCUGUCUUAUGUGAAGAAAAUGACGGUAGCAUAAGAGGAAGCCACGGCUAACUACGUGCCAGCAGCCGCGGUAAUACGUAGGUGGCAAGCGUUGUCCGGAAUUACUGGGUGUAAAGGGAGCGUAGGCGGGACAGUAAGUAAAGUGUGAAAUCUAUCGGCUCAACCGAUAGGCUGCGCUUUAAACUAUUGUUCUUGAGAGAAGUAGAGGAUGGCGGAAUUCCUAGUGUAGCGGUGAAAUGCGUAGAUAUUAGGAGGAACACCAGUGGCGAAGGCGGCCAUCUGGGCUUUUUCUGACGCUGAGGCUCGAAAGCGUGGGUAGCAAACA